UUUUACUGGAGGAAGGUGGGGAUGACGUCAAAUCAUCAUGCCCCUUAUGACCUGGGCUACACACGUGCUACAAUGGACAGAACAAAGGGCUGCGAGACCGCAAGGUUUAGCCAAUCCCAUAAAUCUGUUCUCAGUUCGGAUCGCAGUCUGCAACUCGACUGCGUGAAGCUGGAAUCGCUAGUAAUCGCGGAUCAGCAUGCCGCGGUGAAUACGUUCCCGGGCCUUGUACACACCGCCCGUCACACCACGAGAGUUUGCAACACCCGAAGUCGGUGAGGUAACCUUUAUGGAGCCAGCCGCCGAAGGUGGGGCAGAUGAUUGGGGUGAAGUCGUAGCCAAGG
This 341-nucleotide ribosomal RNA is filed under the name Bacillus sp. M2(2015). Its description in RNAcentral is "bacterial SSU rRNA". It matches the Rfam family "Bacterial small subunit ribosomal RNA", at positions 1158 to 1496 of the family's 1533-position model. Lineage: Bacteria; Bacillati; Bacillota; Bacilli; Caryophanales; Bacillaceae. The record is from RNAcentral.